GCAGUCGAACGGAACUGUUUUGAAGAUUUCUUCGGAAUGAAUUUGAUUUACUUUAGUGGCGGACGGGUGAGUAACGCGUGAGUAACCUGCCUUCAAGAGGGGGAUAACAUUCUGAAAAGAAUGCUAAUACCGCAUGACAUAUCGGAACCACAUGGUUCUGAUAUCAAAGAUUUUAUCGCUUGAAGAUGGACUCGCGUCCGAUUAGUUAGUUGGUGAGGUAACGGCUCACCAAGACCGCGAUCGGUAGCCGGACUGAGAGGUUGAACGGCCACAUUGGGACUGAGACACGGCCCAGACUCCUACGGGAGGCAGCAGUGGGGGAUAUUGCGCAAUGGGGGCAACCCUGACGCAGCAACGCCGCGUGAAGGAUGAAGGUUUUCGGAUUGUAAACUUCUUUUAUUAAGGACGAAAAUUGACGGUACUUAAUGAAUAAGCUCCGGCUAACUACGUGCCAGCAGCCGCGGUAAUACGUAGGGAGCAAGCGUUGUCCGGAUUUACUGGGUGUAAAGGGUGCGUAGGCGGCUUUGCAAGUCAGAUGUGAAAUCUAUGGGCUCAACCCAUAAACUGCAUUUGAAACUGUAGAGCUUGAGUGAAGUAGAGGCAGGCGGAAUUCCCCGUGUAGCGGUGAAAUGCGUAGAGAUGGGGAGGAACACCAGUGGCGAAGGCGGCCUGCUGGGCUUUAACUGACGCUGAGGCACGAAAGCGUGGGUAGCAAACAGGAUUAGAUACCCUGGUAGUCCACGCUGUAA
RNAcentral lists this ribosomal RNA (749 nucleotides) under uncultured bacterium. Its description in RNAcentral is "bacterial SSU rRNA". It matches the Rfam family "Bacterial small subunit ribosomal RNA", at positions 57 to 805 of the family's 1533-position model. The record is from RNAcentral.